UAGAGUUUGAUCCUGGCUCAGAUUGAACGCUGGCGGCGUGCCUAACACAUGCAAGUCGAGCGGUAACAGGUGUAGCAAUACAUGCUGACGAGCGGCGAACGGGUGAGUAAUGUUUCGGAAUCUGCCCAAUGGUGGGGAAUAACCAGCCGAAAGGUUGGCUAAUACCGCAUAAGUCCUACGGGAGAAAGCGGGGGAUCGUAAGACCUCGCGCCGAUGGAUGAGCCGAAACCGGAUUAGCUAGUUGGUAGGGUAACGGCCUACCAAGGCGACGAUCCGUAGCUGGUCUGAGAGGACGACCAGCCACACUGGGACUGAGACACGGCCCAGACUCCUACGGGAGGCAGCAGUGGGGAAUAUUGGACAAUGGGGGAAACCCUGAUCCAGCGACGCCGCGUGUGUGAAGAAGGCCUGCGGGUUGUAAAGCACUUUUAGUGGGGAUGAAAAGCUCAGGGCUAACACCUCUGGGUCUUGACCUAACCCACAGAAAAAGCACCGGCUAACUCUGUGCCAGCAGCCGCGGUAAUACAGAGGGUGCAAGCGUUAAUCGGAAUUACUGGGCGUAAAGCGUGCGUAAACGGUAGCGUAAGUCGGGUGUGAAAGCCCCGGGCUCACCCUGGGAAAUGCAUUCCAAACUGCUCUGCUAAGGGGCGGAAAAGGGAACCGGAAUUUCCGGGUACCCGGGAAAUCGUAAAUUUCGGAAGGACCCCAGUGGCGAAAACGGUUUCUUGUCCACACCGAAGUUUAGGGCCAAAAACUGGGGAACAACAGGAUUAAAACCCUUGUA
RNAcentral lists this ribosomal RNA (784 nucleotides) under uncultured Candidatus Babelota bacterium. Its description in RNAcentral is "bacterial SSU rRNA". It matches the Rfam family "Bacterial small subunit ribosomal RNA", at positions 1 to 792 of the family's 1533-position model. The record is from RNAcentral.